UACAGAGGUCCCAAGCGUUGUUCGGAUUCACUGGGCGUAAAGGGUGCGUAGGCGGUUGUUUAAGUCUGUUGUGAAAUCCCCGGGCUCAACCUGGGAAUGGCAAUGGAUACUGGGCAGCUAGAGUGUGUCAGAGGAUGGUGGAAUUCCCGGUGUAGCGGUGAAAUGCGUAGAGAUCGGGAGGAACAUCAGUGGCGAAGGCGGCCAUCUGGGACAACACUGACGCUGAAGCACGAAAGCGUGGGGAGCAAACAGG
This 253-nucleotide ribosomal RNA is filed under the name uncultured bacterium. Its description in RNAcentral is "partial 16S ribosomal RNA". It matches the Rfam family "Bacterial small subunit ribosomal RNA", at positions 524 to 776 of the family's 1533-position model. The record is from RNAcentral.